GGUAUUUUGUCUUAUUUUAAAAUUUACAUUGAAAAUAUAAAUUAGCUUUUAUUUGUGAUGUUAUGUGUUGUUAUAGUAAAGAUUUGUUUUAUUUAAAACAGUCAAGAUUUUUAGGAGGAAGUAGAAAUCAAUUCUUAUUUUAAGCAGAAAUUUAUUGGAAGGAUCUUUAGUAUCUCACAUAACUAUCAGGAAGAUGGGAGAAUCUUCAGUCAAGAUCAUACCAGAGGAACAAGUUAGUUUGGGUUUUGCUAUAUGUUGCCAACACUGACUCAAUUCUACAGAUAUGAUUAAUGCUAACUCUCCUGGGGAUUUGUAUUAGUAAUUUGAGUUUUAGAAUCUCAAGUAGACUUGAUAAAACCCAGGACACAUAUCCUUGCCCUUGAUGCCAACGGGGAGAAAACAGAAAUCUGGAAUCCUUUGCUUUCUGUAACAAAAGGCAAGACCUUGCUUUUCAACAAAACAAAUGGAUUCCCCCAAACAGGAAGAGUUUGAAUGCUUAGAAUCCAUAGAAAAGGGUGCAUGUCUACUGCCAUUCACCUAUUUGACUGCCCAACAUCCAUUUACAUCUUUCUUCCCAUACUUACCCUUUUUAAAAAGAAGUUCCACUCUAACCCAAUACACUGUUCACUAUAAAACCAAAGAAUCAUUCUCUUCCACAAAGAGUUAUGAUCCUGAAUGUAUUUAGUGUCGUAUCCAGCUCCAGCUCAAGGUAAUAUCUGAUUUUCCACUAUCAUUAUAUGGCCCUAUAUUAGUGUUAUAUAUCCUAUGGACUUGAUUAUAUAGUUAACCUAUGUAAAAUAAUGGAGGUAAAGAAGCAAGGGGAAAUUAGUUGAAAUAUAUAAGUAUAUAUAUAACAGAGAAUGUACGGAAAUAUGGGUAGAUAGUACAGUCUUUGUAUUUUUACAGCUGUUUUAAGGCCUGAGCUAGCAUUUGUGAC
RNAcentral lists this long non-coding RNA (937 nucleotides) under Marmota monax (woodchuck). The record is from RNAcentral. Lineage: Eukaryota; Metazoa; Chordata; Mammalia; Rodentia; Sciuridae.